Molecule: ribosomal RNA, 565 nt
Filed under: Enterobacter cloacae
Lineage: Bacteria; Pseudomonadati; Pseudomonadota; Gammaproteobacteria; Enterobacterales; Enterobacteriaceae
Description: bacterial SSU rRNA
Rfam family: Bacterial small subunit ribosomal RNA
Source: RNAcentral
GCGCACGCAGGCGGUCUGUCAAGUCGGAUGUGAAAUCCCCGCGCUCAACCUGGGAACUGCAUUCGAAACUGGCAGGCUAGAGUCCUGUAGAGGGGGGUAGAAUUCCAGGUGUAGCGGUGAAAUGCGUAGAGAUCUGGAGGAAUACCGGUGGCGAAGGCGGCCCCCUGGACAAAGACUGACGCUCAGGUGCGAAAGCGUGGGGAGCAAACAGGAUUAGAUACCCUGGUAGUCCACGCCGUAAACGAUGUCGAUUUGGAGGUUGUGCCCUUGAGGCGUGGCUUCCGGAGCUAACGCGUUAAAUCGACCGCCUGGGGAGUACGGCCGCAAGGUUAAAACUCAAAUGAAUUGACGGGGGCCCGCACAAGCGGUGGAGCAUGUGGUUUAAUUCGAUGCAACGCGAAGAACCUUACCUGGUCUUGACAUCCAGAGAACUUUCCAGAGAUGGAUUGGUGCCUUCGGGAACUGUGAGACAGGUGCUGCAUGGCUGUCGUCAGCUCGUGUUGUGAAAUGUUGGGUUAAGUCCCCGCACGAGCGCAACCCUUAUCCUUUGUUGCCAGCGGUUAGG